GUGAAAAACUGAGUUUAAAUAUAUUUGGCUAAGGUGUAUGUAAACUUCCGACUUCAACUGUAUAUAUCAUGUUUUGGGUGCCAUUUUGAUUCUAACAAGGUAAUAAUGUACUAUGGUUGGAUUUAAAGCUUCAGSUAAUAGUUGAGUUAAUUUGUGUUUUCAUUCCUCCCUAACACAGAGAACKACCCAGGUGAUCAACUGUAASAUCCUCUCUGUCACCCAGAUGACCAGACUGGUUCUCCCACGCAUGGUUGCAAGAGGGAACGGUCUGAUCAUCAACAUGUCUUCAGAGGCAGGUGCUCAACCACAACCCAUGCUGUCUCUCUACUCCGCCACCAAGGUGCCUCUCCCUUUCACUUAACUUUCUCUCACUCAAG
Molecule: long non-coding RNA, 377 nt
Organism: Salvelinus sp. IW2-2015
Lineage: Eukaryota; Metazoa; Chordata; Actinopteri; Salmoniformes; Salmonidae
Source: RefSeq, a predicted model, not a curated record